GACGUAGGGCGCGAGCGUUGUCCGGAUUUAUUGGGCGUAAAGAGCUCGUAGGCGGCUUGUCGCGUCGACUGUGAAAACCCGCGGCUCAACCGCGGGCCUGCAGCCGAUACGGGCAGGCUAGAGUUCGGUAGGGGAGACUGGAAUUCCUGGUGUAGCGGUGAAAUGCGCAGAUAUCAGGAGGAACACCGAUGGCGAAGGCAGGUCUCUGGGCCGAUACUGACGCUGAGGAGCGAAAGCGUGGGGAGCGAACAGGAUUAGAUACCCUGGUAGUCCACGCUGUAAACGUUGGGCGCUAGGUGUGGGGGACCUCUCCGGUUCUCUGUGCCGCAGCUAACGCAUUAAGCGCCCCGCCUGGGGAGUACGGCCGCAAGGCUAAA
Molecule: ribosomal RNA, 377 nt
Filed under: uncultured bacterium
Lineage: Bacteria
Description: bacterial SSU rRNA
Rfam family: Bacterial small subunit ribosomal RNA
Source: RNAcentral